UGGGGAAUUUUGGACAAUGGGCGCAAGCCUGAUCCAGCCAUGCCGCGUGCGGGAAGAAGGCCUUCGGGUUGUAAACCGCUUUUGUCAGGGAAGAAAUCCUCUGAGUUAAUACCUCGGGGGGAUGACGGUACCUGAAGAAUAAGCACCGGCUAACUACGUGCCAGCAGCCGCGGUAAUACGUAGGGUGCAAGCGUUAAUCGGAAUUACUGGGCGUAAAGCGUGCGCAGGCGGUUGUGCAAGACAGGUGUGAAAUCCCCGGGCUUAACCUGGGAACUGCACUUGUGACUGCACAGCUGGAGUGCGGCAGAGGGGGAUGGAAUUCCGCGUGUAGCAGUGAAAUGCGUAGAUAUGCGGAGGAACACCGAUGGCGAAGGCAAUCCCCUGGGCCUGCACUGACGCUCAUGCACGAAAGCGUGGGGAGCAAAC
RNAcentral lists this ribosomal RNA (426 nucleotides) under uncultured bacterium. RNAcentral's name for it is "bacterial SSU rRNA". It matches the Rfam family "Bacterial small subunit ribosomal RNA", at positions 355 to 773 of the family's 1533-position model. The record is from RNAcentral.